This 468-nucleotide ribosomal RNA is filed under the name uncultured bacterium. RNAcentral describes it as "partial 16S ribosomal RNA". It matches the Rfam family "Bacterial small subunit ribosomal RNA", at positions 28 to 507 of the family's 1533-position model. The record is from RNAcentral.
GACGAACGCUGGCGGCGUGCUUAACACAUGCAAGUCGAACGGAAAGGCCCUGCUUUUGUGGGGUGCUCGAGUGGCGAACGGGUGAGUAACACGUGAGUAACCUGCCCUUGACUUUGGGAUAACUUCAGGAAACUGGGGCUAAUACCGGAUAGGAGCUCCUGCUGCAUGGUGGGGGUUGGAAAGUUUCGGCGGUUGGGGAUGGACUCGCGGCUUAUCAGCUUGUUGGUGGGGUAGUGACUUACCAAGGCUUUGACGGGUAGCCGGCCUGAGAGGGUGACCGGCCACAUUGGGACUGAGAUACGGCCCAGACUCCUGCGGGAGGCAGCAGUGGGGAAUAUUGCACAAUGGGCGGAAGCCUGAUGCAGCAACGCCGCGUGCGGGAUGACGGCCUUCGGGUUGUAAACCGCUUUCGCCUGUGACGAAGCGUGAGUGACGGUAAUGGGUAAAGAAGCACCGGCUAACUACGUG